UCCUAGUUAACCUAGGCAGUCUCGUUAGAGUUCCCGCCUUCACGCGCUGGCAACUAACGAUAAGGGUUGCGCUCGUUGCUGGACUUAACCAAACACCUCACGGCACGAGCUGACGACAGCCAUGCAGCACCUAUAUAGAACUCCUUUCGGAACAGGCUAUCUCUAGCCCUUUUCUCUACAUUUCGAGCCCAGGUAAGGUUCUUCGCGUUGCAUCGAAUUAAACCACAUGCUCCACUGCUUGUGCGGGCCCCCGUCAAUUCUUUUGAGUUUCACCCUUGCGAGCGUACUCCCCAGGCGGCAUACUUAACGCGUUAGCUCCGAUACAAAAAGGGUUGAGCCUUUUUACAUCUAGUAUGCAUCGUUUACGGCUAGGACUAC
RNAcentral lists this unclassified non-coding RNA (378 nucleotides) under uncultured Chlamydiales bacterium. RNAcentral describes it as "contains 16S-23S intergenic spacer region". The record is from RNAcentral. Lineage: Bacteria; Pseudomonadati; Chlamydiota; Chlamydiia; Chlamydiales.